AGUGAACGCUGGCGGUAGGCCUAACACAUGCAAGUCGAACGGCAGCACAGGAGAGCUUGCUCUCUAGGUGGCGAGUGGCGGACGGGUGAGGAAUACAUCGGAAUCUGCCCAGUCGUGGGGGAUAACGUAGGGAAACUUACGCUAAUACCGCAUGCGACCUUCGGGUGAAAGAGGGGGAUCGCAAGACCUCUCGCGAUUGGAUGAGCCGAUGUCGGAUUAGCUAGUUAGCGGGGUAAUGGCCCACCAAGGCGACGAUCCGUAGCUGGUCUGAGAGGAUGAUCAGCCACACUGGAACUGAGACACGGUCCAGACUCCUACGGGAGGCAGCAGUGGGGAAUAUUGGACAAUGGGCGCAAGCCUGAUCCAGCCAUACCGCGUGGGUGAAGAAGGCCUUCGGGUUGUAAAGCCCUUUUGUUGGGAAAGAAAUCUUUCAGGCUAAUACCCUGGGAGGAUGACGGUACCCAAAGAAUAAGCACCGGCUAACUUCGUG
This 490-nucleotide ribosomal RNA is filed under the name uncultured bacterium. Its description in RNAcentral is "partial 16S ribosomal RNA". It matches the Rfam family "Bacterial small subunit ribosomal RNA", at positions 29 to 507 of the family's 1533-position model. The record is from RNAcentral.